RNAcentral lists this ribosomal RNA (449 nucleotides) under uncultured bacterium. Its description in RNAcentral is "partial 16S ribosomal RNA". It matches the Rfam family "Bacterial small subunit ribosomal RNA", at positions 29 to 523 of the family's 1533-position model. The record is from RNAcentral.
AACGAACGCUGGCGGCAGGCUUAACAUAUGCAAGUCGAACGAGAUCUUCGGAUCUAGUGGCAGACGGGUGAGGAACACGUGGGAACAUCCCUUUCAGUUCGGAAUAACGUUGGGAAACUAACGCUAAUACCGGAUACGUCCUUCGGGAGAAAGAUUUAUCGCUGAAAGAUUGGCCCGCGUCUGAUUAGCUAGUUGGUGAGGUAACGGCUCACCAAGGCUACGAUCAGUAGCUGAUCUGAGAGGAUGAUCAGCCACAUUGGGACUGAGACACGGCCCAAACUCCUACGGGAGGCAGCAGUGGGGAAUAUUGGACAAUGGGCGCAAGCCUGGUCCAGCCAUGCCGCGUGAGUGAUGACGGCCUUCGGGUUGUAAAGCUCUUUUGUCCGGGAAGAUAAUGACUGUACCGGAAGAAUAAGCCCCGGCAAACUUCGUGCCAGCCGCCGCAGUAA